Long non-coding RNA from Lycium barbarum (goji berry), 633 nucleotides. RefSeq lists it as uncharacterized. Lineage: Eukaryota; Viridiplantae; Streptophyta; Magnoliopsida; Solanales; Solanaceae. The transcript has 3 exons. The record is from RefSeq and is a predicted model, not a curated record.
AGGUGACGUCGGUACAAGAAGAUAUGAACGUUUUAAGGUCGAAAGGUCAGUGGGCUAGGCCCAACUCGGGCCCAACCGGGUUAGGCCCAUUACCCACACCCUUUUAAAUGAAAUUUCAGGUCUUUCUCCUCAUUAUUCAUACAAAGAAGACCAGAAAGUUCUGGAGAGAGAGAGAGAAAAGAGUAUUGGAAAGAAGAAAAAUCAAUUUUGAUCAAAAUCCGAGCCCCGAAUCCCGAAGCCCAUGAAGACAAAAGUGUUGUAUGUCGCGUUGUCUUCAAUUUGAGGUAAAAAUCAACCAAGGAGGAGGGUGAUAACGUGGUGGUUGAAUUCUUAAGAUUUUGGACGAAACGGGAUUUGGAUUUGGAGAGGCGUAAGGAGCGAAUAAGGUACAGACGAUAGAUUUGCUGAUCCGCCCACUUAGGAUCCUAUUCUGCUUUCUUGGAGUGCUCCUUCGUCCGAAGCCUAUAUUUUGGGUACAGACUUUUCUGUUGCACAUAUGUAUGUUAUUUAGGGGUAUGACGGGGCCCUGUCCCGUCUUAUGUUUUUGUUGCUAUUCGUAGAGGUCUAUAGACAUACAUGUGGGUUGUGUAUAUGUUUUGGGUUGCUAUGUUCUAAGAUAGCCUUAUCGGCUUC